GACGAACGCUGGCGGCGUGCCUAAUACAUGCCAGUCGAACGCUGAAGGAGGAGCUUGCUUCUCUGGAUGAGUUGCGAACGGGUGAGUAACGCGUAGGUAACCUGCCUGGUAGCGGGGGAUAACUAUUGGAAACGAUAGCUAAUACCGCAUAAGAGUAGAUGUUGCAUGACAUUUGCUUAAAAGGUGCAAUUGCAUCACUACCAGAUGGACCUGCGUUGUAUUAGCUAGUUGGUGGGGUAACGGCUCACCAAGGCGACGAUACAUAGCCGACCUGAGAGGGUGAUCGGCCACACUGGGACUGAGACACGGCCCAGACUCCUACGGGAGGCAGCAGUAGGGAAUCUUCGGCAAUGGACGGAAGUCUGACCGAGCAACGCCGCGUGAGUGAAGAAGGUUUUCGGAUCGUAAAGCUCUGUUGUAAGAGAAGAACGAGUGUGAGAGUGGAAAGUUCACACUGUGACGGUAUCUUACCAGAAAGCGACGGCUAACUACGUG
RNAcentral lists this ribosomal RNA (495 nucleotides) under uncultured bacterium. Its description in RNAcentral is "partial 16S ribosomal RNA". It matches the Rfam family "Bacterial small subunit ribosomal RNA", at positions 28 to 507 of the family's 1533-position model. The record is from RNAcentral.